RNAcentral lists this ribosomal RNA (507 nucleotides) under uncultured Glomeraceae. Its description in RNAcentral is "SSU rRNA". It matches the Rfam family "Eukaryotic small subunit ribosomal RNA", at positions 569 to 1078 of the family's 1831-position model. The record is from RNAcentral. Lineage: Eukaryota; Fungi; Glomeromycota; Glomeromycetes; Glomerales; Glomeraceae.
AGCAGCCGCGGUAAUUCCAGCUCCAAUAGCGUAUAUUAAAGUUGUUGCAGUUAAAAAGCUCGUAGUUGAAUUUCGGGGUUAGUAGGUUGGUCAUGCCUCUGGUAUGUACUGGUCUCACUGAUUCCUCCUUCCUGAUGAGCCGUAAUGCCAUUAAUUUGGUGUUGCGGGGAAUUUGGACUGUUACUUUGAAAAAUUAGAGUGUUUAAAGCAAGCUAACGCUUGAAUACAUUAGCAUGGAAUAAUGAAAUAGGACGUUCGAUCCUAUUUUGUUGGUUUCUAGGAUUGACGUAAUGAUUAAUAGGGAUAGUUGGGGGCAUUAGUAUUCAAUUGUCAGAGGUGAAAUUCUUGGAUUUAUUGAAGACUAACUACUGCGAAAGCAUUUGCCAAGGAUGUUUUCAUUAAUCAAGAACGAAAGUUAGGGGAUCGAAGGCGAUCAGAUACCGUCGUAGUCUUAACCAUAAACUAUGCCGACUAGGGAUCGGAUGAUGUUAAUUUUUAUAGUACUCA